RNAcentral lists this long non-coding RNA (211 nucleotides) under Setaria italica (foxtail millet). RNAcentral describes it as "long non-coding RNA (SITA_LNC003286)". Lineage: Eukaryota; Viridiplantae; Streptophyta; Magnoliopsida; Poales; Poaceae. The record is from RNAcentral.
GCAAGUAAAAUAGUAGGAUGGAAUCAUGUCUGACAUCAAGAGAACUAAAUGGUGAUAAUAAAGAAACAGAAUUACAACAAUGUCAAAAAGAAAACACUAAACAUGGUAAUGAGAGCCAUGUAUCCACUCUUAUGACAACGAAAAUGAUCAACAAAAUACUAAAAUGAUCAACAAAAAAUGGACAAGAUACUAAUUGCACAACGCAUGCAAC